UACGUAGGGUGCGAGUGUUGUCCGGAAUUACUGGGCGUAAAGAGCUCGUAGGUGGUUUGUCGCGUUGUUCGUGAAAACCGGGGGCUUAACCCUCGGCGUGCGGGCGAUACGGGCAGACUUGAGUACUGCAGGGGAGACUGGAAUUCCUGGUGUAGCGGUGGAAUGCGCAGAUAUCAGGAGGAACACCGGUGGCGAAGGCGGGUCUCUGGGCAGUAACUGACGCUGAGGAGCGAAAGCGUGGGGAGCGAACAGG
RNAcentral lists this ribosomal RNA (253 nucleotides) under uncultured bacterium. Its description in RNAcentral is "partial 16S ribosomal RNA". It matches the Rfam family "Bacterial small subunit ribosomal RNA", at positions 524 to 776 of the family's 1533-position model. The record is from RNAcentral.